RNAcentral lists this ribosomal RNA (415 nucleotides) under uncultured bacterium. RNAcentral describes it as "bacterial LSU rRNA". It matches the Rfam family "Bacterial large subunit ribosomal RNA", at positions 768 to 1181 of the family's 2925-position model. The record is from RNAcentral.
GGAGGUCCGAACCACUAGUGUUGAAAAACUAGGGGAUGAGCUGUGGGUAGGGGUGAAAGGCUAAACAAAUCUGGAGAUAGCUGGUUCUACCCCGAAAACUAUUUAGGUAGUGCCUCAUAUGGACACUUCCGGGGGUAGAGCACUGUAAUGGUUGAGGGGGUCGUUUAGAUCUACCUCGCCAUAGCAAACUCCGAAUCCGGAAAGUGAUGUAUGGGAGACAGACGGUGGGUGCUAACGUCCAUCGUCAAGAGGGGAAACAACCCAGACCGCCAGCUAAGGUCCCCAAUGAUUGGCUAAGUGGAAAACGAGGUGGGAAGGCAUAGACAGUCAGGAGGUUGGCUUAGAAGCAGCCAUCCUUUAAGAAAGCGUAAUAGCUCACUGAUCGAGUCGUCCUGCGCGGAAGAUGUAACGGGGC